Passer domesticus (house sparrow) is the source of this 848-nucleotide long non-coding RNA. RefSeq lists it as uncharacterized. The transcript has 3 exons. The record is from RefSeq and is a predicted model, not a curated record. NCBI's taxonomy places the organism in Eukaryota, Metazoa, Chordata, Aves, Passeriformes, Passeridae.
CCAGCCCUUAAAAGACGCGAUUAAUUGUCAUAGCAACCAGGGCAUGGAACCACACGCACUUGGGCUGGGAUACAGGGACAGCAGUGUGCCCUCUUACCCACACACGCAUCUCAAAAGGGACAUCACCAUCACCGAGUUUGUAAAAACAGCCAAUGUGGUUGUACCACAGCACACCUGCAAGCUAGUUUAUUGUCUAUCUCUGCCUGCCUAAGAUCAGAGUCAUGGCCAUCAGGAGACACCAAAACAGCAAGAAGCAGGUCCUUCCCUACAUGGUAAUUUAUUUUUAUGACACAGAAGCAUACUUGAACACAGACAGACAAAGAGAGAAGAAGUUGUUGUGAACUGAUACAUUGGAACUGUGCAGCACCUCUAUACAACAGUACUGCAAGUGAAAAUACAACAGCUAGGAGGAUACAGGAUCAAUUUGGGAAGCAGGACUAACAGAGAAAUGCUUCCAGAAAGCAAUCUGUCAGUACAAUCUCCUGACCAUUCCUAAGGUGGCCAGACUGGUGGGUAUUUUGCUCUUAAAGAAUUAUUUUGGUAACUGAUGUUACAGGAUUGCAGAUCAGAGGCACAGUUUUGGGAAAGCUUGUGCAUGGCUGCUGGCUCCAGAAAGAAAGAGGUCAGGAAAUGGCAAUAAGCCUCCAAGAUCACAUCAGCCAGAUAAAAACAGCAAUUCACACUGGACUAUAGGAGAAUACUAUAGUACAUCACAUGCUGUCAUGGAAAGAGAGAUAAUCCAGUUCAGUGGCCACCAAUUUUGGCCACCGCUGAUUGGGCUAUUUUUCUAGUCAGCCACUGCAAAGAAGUUACUGCACACCUUGGCAGGGAGGCAGAAGUGAGUCACG